Zea mays is the source of this 493-nucleotide RNA transcript. It is a transcript of the gene named cyclin pseudogene, with no coding region annotated. The record is from RefSeq and is marked validated. Lineage: Eukaryota; Viridiplantae; Streptophyta; Magnoliopsida; Poales; Poaceae. The transcript is spliced from 2 exons.
AGUAUGUGUGUCCUUAGAUGACAAAGUGAAGCUCCAUCCAGUCAGUUGACCAGCUCGACUGCUCUAUGUUCCCGGUGCUAUUUUUAAAGUUUCUCUAAACUCAUUCAUGUGUGUUUUUAGGUGAAUGAUUUCAUUCUUAUAUCAGUGCAUACAGUAGGGAGCAGAUUCUUUCGAUGGAGAAGGGAAUUCUGAAUAGGCUGGAGUGGGACUUAACUGUUCCUAUAGUAUACAUGUUCUUUGUUCAUUUUCUGAAGGUAGCAACCUUGGGCAACAAAGUUGAGAAAGAGAUGGAGGACAUGGCCUUCUUCUUUGCUGAAUUGGCGCUGAUGCAAUACGGAUACGGCUUGGUGACACGUCUGCCUUCUCUGGUUGCUGCUUCUGCUGUCUACGCGGUCAGGCUCACUGUCAAGAGAGCUCCCUCUGGACCGACGCCCUCAAGCACCACACUGUUGUGUACCAGGUGCUCGGAGGAGCGACCCGCGAAGGGCAGCGG